This 440-nucleotide ribosomal RNA is filed under the name uncultured bacterium. RNAcentral's name for it is "partial 16S ribosomal RNA". It matches the Rfam family "Bacterial small subunit ribosomal RNA", at positions 338 to 795 of the family's 1533-position model. The record is from RNAcentral.
CCUACGGGAGGCAGCAGUGGGGAAUAUUGGACAAUGGGGGGAACCCUGAUCCAGCGACGCCGCGUGAGUGAAGAAGUAUUUCGGUAUGUAAAGCUCUAUCAGCAGGGAAGAAAAUGACGGUACCUGAAGAAGAAGCCCCGGCUAACUACGUGCCAGCAGCCGCGGUAAUACGUAGGGGGCAAGCGUUAUCCGGAUUUACUGGGUGUAAAGGGGGCGCAGACGGCGAUGCAAGCCAGGAGGGAAAGCCCGGGGCCCAACCCCGGGACUGCCCUUGGAACUGGGUGGCUAGAGUGCAGGAGGGGUAGGCGGAAUGCCUGGUGUAGCGGUGAAAUGCAUAGAUAUCAGGAAGAACACCGGUGGCGAAGGCGGCCUGCUGGACUGCAACUGACGUUGAGGCCCGAAAGCGUGGGGAGCGAACAGGAUUAGAUACCCGGGUAGUC